UUAAUUCUGGACCAAUCAACAUUUAGGGGUAAAAUAGUCAAAUUGUAUAAUUUAAUUAUAAUUUCUAUUUACUGAUUCAUUAAAUAGUCUUAACUGAAAUCCUAUAAUUAAGGAUUUUAACCCAUAUCAAGUUCUUCCUAGGGUUUAUUUGCUUUCCGUUUUUCUUCAUACAUCGACGAAUCGACAAGCACAGAAGGUUGAAGAACACAAUAUGUGAAGAUUGUCGACUGGAGACGCACGCUUGACGGGCUGAUUCCGAUUCACCUCCUUUGAUUAUCUACACUAUGUAGGAACUUGCCACCUGUAGUAAUCUUCUUAAGGGAUAUCUGACGCCUUUCACUCUUUAGGAACUACAUCUUCUUCAUUCCGCUCAAUCUUCUUCACUCUUCAGGAUCAAACAUGGAGAGGUAAAGAUAGAGGAAUGGGAAAACCAUCAAAAAGAAAAAUGAGAUUCUUCAAGAAUGAUGACAAAUUCUUCAAGAAUAAUGACAAAUUGUUAAAGAAUGUACUAUAUAUCAUGACUUUUUGUAAAUUCUUCAAAAAUGAUGAUAGAUUCUUGAAAAAUAUAGUAUAAAAGGUUGUGUACAUUCUUUUAAAUGUUGUAUAUUUUCUUGUUUUAUGUCAUUUAUUCCCUUUCUUAA
This is a long non-coding RNA of Lactuca sativa (garden lettuce), 641 nucleotides long. RefSeq lists it as uncharacterized. The record is from RefSeq and is a predicted model, not a curated record. Lineage: Eukaryota; Viridiplantae; Streptophyta; Magnoliopsida; Asterales; Asteraceae.